This 490-nucleotide ribosomal RNA is filed under the name uncultured bacterium. RNAcentral describes it as "partial 16S ribosomal RNA". It matches the Rfam family "Bacterial small subunit ribosomal RNA", at positions 28 to 507 of the family's 1533-position model. The record is from RNAcentral.
GAUGAACGCUAGCUACAGGCUUAACACAUGCAAGUCGCGGGGCAGCAUGGGGGUUGCUUGCAAUCCCUGAUGGCGACCGGCGCACGGGUGAGUAACGCGUAUCCAACCUGCCCUUCACCACGGGAUAACCCGGCGAAAGUCGGACUAAUACCGUAUGUUGUCCAUUGACGGCAUCCGAUUUGGACGAAAGGCUUAGCGGUGAGGGAUGGGGAUGCGUCGGAUUAGCUUGACGGCGGGGUAACGGCCCACCGUGGCUACGAUCGGUAGGGGUUCUGAGAGGGAGGUCCCCCACACUGGAACUGAGACACGGCCCAGACUCCUACGGGAGGCAGCAGUGGGGAAUAUUGGUCAAUGGGCGUAAGCCUGAACCAGCCAAGUAGCGUGCAGGAUGACGGCCCUAUGUGUUGUAAACUGCUUUUAUGCGGGGAUAAAGGGACCCACGUGUGGGUUUUUGCAGGUACCGCAUGAAUAAGGACCGGCUAAUUCCGUG